Hypanus sabinus (Atlantic stingray) is the source of this 645-nucleotide non-coding RNA. Lineage: Eukaryota; Metazoa; Chordata; Chondrichthyes; Myliobatiformes; Dasyatidae. The record is from the annotation of a RefSeq genome assembly.
AUGUCGCCAGUUCUGCAUCUCCUGUGGGCUCUAAUGGUCCAUUUACCAGGUUUCCUGGCGGUCCCAGUCCUGAAUCAGACAUCAAUGUCUGAUCCUUUCUCCGCGGGACAGACUGCCAGCUUAGAGUGCCGGAUACAGAACGGAAACGUUGCAAGUUACGAUUUUGGUUGGGACCGACAUCGUCCCGGGAAGAGACCGGAGGGAGUAAUAUAUCAUGGCACAAGCAAUAACAUUUACAGAGGACCCGGCAUCACUGAACGUUUCCAACCGUCCAGAGACACCUCCGCCAACAGUCACAUCCUGACCAUCGGCAGCUUGGAGACCGGCGACUCGGCCGUCUAUUACUGCAGAGUGUGGGGAAGUGGCGUGGGUUGGUUCUAUGGACCGGGGACGAUCCUGGAGAUAAAGAGUAGCGAGAGCAGAAAGCCCUCUGUCCUCCUGCUCCCUCCCUCCCCGGAGGAGACCGGCUCAGGUUCUGCCACUCUUUCCUGCCUCGUGAGCGGUUUUAAGCCUGGCUUGGUCGCGCUGCGCUGGAGCGUGGAUGGCGUCGAGACAGAGAGCGGCGUGACGACAGGCGCCGUGUCCCUGGACACCGACCAGAUCUACAAGCUGAGCAGUUACCUGCGGGUACCCGCCGCUGCCUGA